GUUCGUUAUUAAGGGCGCAUGGUGGAUGCCUUGGCAUGCUGAGCCGAUGAAGGACGUGAAAGGCUGCGUUAAGCCUCGGGGAGUUGUCAAUUGAGCGUUGAUCCGAGGAUGUCCGAAUGGGGAAACCUGGCCCUGGUUAUGUGGGGUUACCCUUCAGUGAAUUCAUAGCUGUUGUGGGGGUUUACGCGGGGAAGUGAAACAUCUCAGUACCCGUAGGAGGAGAAAAUAAUAAUGAUUCUGCUAGUAGUGGCGAACGAACGUGGAUGAGGCUAAACCGUGUGCAUGUGAUACCUGGUAGGGGUUGUGUGUGCGGUGUUGUGGGCCCCAAUUGGCGGUGACUACCAUCAUCGUGCUCGUGUGUUGUUGUUAGGUGAAGUGGUUUGGAAUGGCCUGCCGGAGAAGGUGAGAGUCCUGUAGUUGAAGACAAUGGCAUGUGGGUUGUUGGGUUGCCCGAGUAGCAGCGGGCUCGUGGAAUCUGCUGUGAAUCUGCCGGGACCACCCGGUAAGCCUAAAUACUCAGUGUGACCGAUAGUGUAUGAGUACCGUGAGGGAAUGGUGAAAAGUACCCCGGGAGGGGAGUGAAAUAGUUCCUGAAACCAUGUGCUUACAAUCCGUCAGAGCACCGUUUGUGUGUGAUGGCGUGCCUUUUGAAGAAUGAGCCUGCGAGUCAGCGGCAUGUCGCGAGGUUAACCCGUGUGGGGUAGCCGUAGGGAAACCGAAUCCUAAUGGGGUGUUAAGUGGCAUGUCCUGGACCCGAAGCGGGGUGAUCUACCCAUGGCCAGUGUGAAGCAGCUGUAAGAGGUUGUGGAGGCGCGAACCCACGUAGGUUGAAAACUGCGGGGAUGAGCUGUGGGUAGGGGUGAAAGGCCAAUCAAACUCCGUGAUAGCUGGUUCUCCCCGAAAUGCAUUUAGGUGCAGCGUCGUAUUAUAGCUUGGUGGAGGUAGAGCGACUGGUUGGUUGAGCGGGACUACAAUCUUAGCAAUGUCAGCCAAACUCCGAAUGCCACUAAUUGUGUUGUACGGCAGUGAGACUGUGGGGGAUAAGCUUCAUAGUCGAGAGGGAAACAGCCCAGAUCGCCGGUUAAGGCCCCUAAGGGUGUACUAAGUGGAAAAGGAUGUGGGAUCGCGAAGACAGCCAGGAGGUUGGCUUAGAAGCAGCCAUCCUUGAAAGAGUGCGUAAUAGCUCACUGGUCGAGUGGUUCUGCGCCGACAAUGUAGUGGGGCUCAAGUACACCGCCGAAGCCGCGGCAAACUUUUUUGUUUGGGUAGGGGAGCGUCGUGCAUGGGUUGAAGCGUUACCGUAAGGAGGCGUGGACUGUGUGCGAGUGAGAAUGCAGGCAUGAGUAACGAAUUGAUAGGUGAGAAUCCUAUCCGCCGGAUGACUAAGGGUUCCUGGGUCAAGUUCGUCUUCCCAGGGUGAGUCGGGACCUAAGGCGAGGCCGACAGGCGUAGUCGAUGGAUAACCAGUUGAUAUUCUGGUACCCGUACAUGCGCGCCCAUGAUAAAGCACUGAUACUAACCACCGCGGAUGCACUGCUAAUACUCUUUGAGUGUUGGUGGUGUUGAUGUCGUGGGGCCUGAUGUGUGGUUCAAGUGAUGGGGUGACGCAGUGAGGUAGCCACGCCACUUAUUGGAUUGGUGGUGUAAGCGUGUAGAUCGUGUGGUAGGUAAAUCCGCCACACAUGUGGUUGAGACGUGAUGCGUAGACCCAUUGGGGUUGAUGGUGGUGAUCCUGUACUGUCGAGAAAAGCCUCUAGCGAUGUGUGUGUAUGGCCCGUACCCUAAACCGACACAGGUAGUCAGGUUGAAAAUACUAAGGCGUUCGGGUGAACUGUGGUUAAGGAAUUCGGCAAAAUGCCCCCGUAACUUCGGGAGAAGGGGGGCCUUACGACGUGAAGGCCCAAGCGGCUGGAAGCGUUGUGGGGUCGCAGAGAAUAGAGGGAAGCGACUGUUUAUCAAAAACACAGGUCCAUGCGAAGACGUUAAGUUGAUGUAUAUGGACUGACGCCUGCCCGGUGCUGGAAGGUUAAGAGGACCGGUUAGUAGUCUUUGACUGCGAAGCUGAGAAUUUAAGCCCCAGUAAACGGCGGUGGUAACUAUAACCAUCCUAAGGUAGCGAAAUUCCUUGUCGGGUAAGUUCCGACCUGCACGAAUGGCGUA
RNAcentral lists this ribosomal RNA (2160 nucleotides) under metagenome. RNAcentral describes it as "bacterial LSU rRNA". It matches the Rfam family "Bacterial large subunit ribosomal RNA", at positions 1 to 2003 of the family's 2925-position model. The record is from RNAcentral.